AACGUAGGAAGCGAGCGUUAUCCGGAUUUACUGGGCGUAAAGCGCGUGUAGGCGGUUGGGUAAGUUGGAUGUGAAAGCUCCUGGCUUAACUGGGAGAGGUCGUUCAAUACUGCUCGACUAGAGGAUGAGAGAGGGAAGUGGAAUUCCGGGUGUAGUGGUGAAAUGCGUAGAUAUCCGGAGGAACACCAGUGGCGAAAGCGGCUUCCUGGCUCAUAUCUGACGCUCAGACGCGAAAGCUAGGGGAGCAAACGGG
Molecule: ribosomal RNA, 253 nt
Filed under: uncultured bacterium
Lineage: Bacteria
Description: partial 16S ribosomal RNA
Rfam family: Bacterial small subunit ribosomal RNA
Source: RNAcentral